GCAUAUCAAUAAGCGGAGGAAAAGAAACCAACAGGGAUUGCCCUAGUAACGGCGAGUGAAGCGGCAACAGCUCAAAUUUGAAAUCUGGCGCAAGCCCGAGUUGUAAUUUGUAGAGGAUGCUUCUAGGUAGCGACCGGUCUAAGUUCCUUGGAACAGGACGUCAUAGAGGGUGAGAAUCCCGUAUGUGACUGGCCCGCACCUUCUACGUAGCUCCUUCGACGAGUCGAGUUGUUUGGGAAUGCAGCUCUAAAUGGGAGGUAAAUUUCUUCUAAAGCUAAAUACCGGCCAGAGACCGAUAGCGCACAAGUAGAGUGAUCGAAAGAUGAAAAGCACUUUGGAAAGAGAGUUAAAAAGCACGUGAAAUUGUUGAAAGGGAAGCGCUCACAACCAGACUUCUGGGCGGUGUUCCGCCGGUCUUCUGACCGGUCUACUCACCGUCCCGAGGCCAACAUCAUCUGGGACCGCCGGAUAAGACCUCAGGAAUGUAGCUCCCCUCGGGGAGUGUUAUAGCCUGUGGUGAUGCGGCGCGUCUCGGGUGAGGUCCGCGCUUCGGCAAGGAUGUUGGCGUAAUGGUUGUCAGCGGCCCGUCUUGAAACACGGACCAAGGAGUCUAACAUCUAUGCGAGUGUUCGGGUGUCAAACCCCUACGCGUAAUGAAAGUGAACGGAGGUGGGAAGGGUAACCUGCACCAUCGACCGAUCCUGAUGUCCUCGGAUGGAUUUGAGUAAGAGCAUAGCUGUUGGGACCCGAAAGAUGGUGAACUAUGCCUGAAUAGGGUGAAGCCAGAGGAAACUCUGGUGGAGGCUCGCAGCGGUUCUGACGUGCAAAUCGAUCGUCAAAUUUGGGUAUAGGGGCGAAAGACUAAUCGAACCAUCUAGUAGCUGGUCCUG
This 890-nucleotide ribosomal RNA is filed under the name Ramularia glennii. Its description in RNAcentral is "eukaryotic LSU rRNA". It matches the Rfam family "Eukaryotic large subunit ribosomal RNA", at positions 38 to 959 of the family's 3401-position model. Lineage: Eukaryota; Fungi; Ascomycota; Dothideomycetes; Mycosphaerellales; Mycosphaerellaceae. The record is from RNAcentral.